CAUGAGCAGGUUGAAAGUGCCGUAACAGGCACCGGAGGACCGAACCCACUGUCUUUGAAAAGCCAGGGGAUGACUUGUGGAUAGGGGUGAAAGGCUAAUCAAACUCGGUGAUAGCUGGUUCUCCCCGAAAGCUAUUUAGGUAGCGCCUCGGACGAACACCAUUGGGGGUAGAGCACUGUUUCGGCUAGGGGGUCAUCCCGACUUACCAAACCGAUGCAAACUCCGAAUACCAAUGAGUACUAUCCGGGAGACAGACUGCGGGUGCUAACGUCCGUAGUCAAGAGGAAAACAAUCCAGACCGCCAGCUAAGGCCCCAAAAUUAUAGUUAAGUGGGAAACGAUGUGGGAAGGCAUAGACAGCUAGGAGGUUGGCUUAGAAGCAGCCACCCUUGAAAGAGUGCGUAAUAGCUCACUGGUCAAGUG
This 422-nucleotide ribosomal RNA is filed under the name Skeletonema menzelii. RNAcentral describes it as "partial Bacterial large subunit ribosomal RNA". It matches the Rfam family "Bacterial large subunit ribosomal RNA", at positions 735 to 1155 of the family's 2925-position model. Lineage: Eukaryota; Bacillariophyta; Thalassiosirophyceae; Thalassiosirales; Thalassiosiraceae. The record is from RNAcentral.